This 442-nucleotide ribosomal RNA is filed under the name uncultured bacterium. RNAcentral describes it as "partial 16S ribosomal RNA". It matches the Rfam family "Bacterial small subunit ribosomal RNA", at positions 338 to 795 of the family's 1533-position model. The record is from RNAcentral.
CCUACGGGAGGCAGCAGUGGGGAAUAUUGGGCAAUGGGCGCAAGCCUGACCCAGCAAUGCCGCGUGAAGGAAGAAGGCUUUCGGGUUGUAAACUUCUUUGACAGGGGAAGAGCAGAAGACGGUACCCUGAAAACAAGCCACGGCUAACUACGUGCCAGCAGCCGCGGUAAUACGUAGGUGGCAAGCGUUGUCCGGAUUUACUGGGUGUAAAGGGCGUGUAGCCGGGAAGGCAAGUCAGAUGGGAAAUCUGGAGGCUCAACCUCCAAAUUGCAGUUGAAACUGUUUUUCUUGAGUACUGGAGAGGCAGACGGAAUUCCUUGUGUAGCGGUGAAAUGCGUAGAUAUAAGGCGGAACCCCAGUGGCGAAGGCGGUCUGCUGGACAGCAACUGACGGUGAGGCGCGAAAGCGUGGGGAGCAAACAGGAUUAGAUACCCGUGUAGUC